GGCUCAGGAUGAACGCUGGCGGCGUGCCUAAUACAUGCAAGUAGAACGCUGAAGGAGGAGCUUGCUCUUCUGGAUGAGUUGCGAACGGGUGAGUAACGCGUAGGUAACCUGCCUCUUAGCGGGGGAUAACUAUUGGAAACGAUAGCUAAUACCGCAUAAAAGUCGACAUUGCAUGAUGUUGACUUGAAAGGUGCAACUGCAUCACUAAGAGAUGGACCUGCGUUGUAUUAGCUAGUUGGUGAGGUAACGGCUCACCAAGGCGACGAUACAUAGCCGACCUGAGAGGGUGAUCGGCCACACUGGGACUGAGACACGGCCCAGACUCCUACGGGAGGCAGCAGUAGGGAAUCUUCGGCAAUGGACGGAAGUCUGACCGAGCAACGCCGCGUGAGUGAAGAAGGUUUUCGGAUCGUAAAGCUCUGUUGUAAGAGAAGAACGAGUGUGAGAGUGGAAAGUUCACACUGUGACGGUAACUUACCAGAAAGGGACGGCUAACUACGUGCCAGCAGCCGCGGUAAUACGUAGGUCCCGAGCGUUAUCCGGAUUUAUUGGGCGUAAAGCGAGCGCAGGCGGUUAGAUAAGUCUGAAGUUAAAGGCUGUGGCUUAACCAUAGUACGCUUUGGAAACUGUUUAACUUGAGUGCAGAAGGGGAGAGUGGAAUUCCAUGUGUAGCGGUGAAAUGCGUAGAUAUAUGGAGGAACACCGGUGGCGAAAGCGGCUCUCUGGUCUGUAACUGAC
This 738-nucleotide ribosomal RNA is filed under the name uncultured Bacilli bacterium. Its description in RNAcentral is "bacterial SSU rRNA". It matches the Rfam family "Bacterial small subunit ribosomal RNA", at positions 21 to 744 of the family's 1533-position model. The record is from RNAcentral. Lineage: Bacteria; Bacillati; Bacillota; Bacilli.